AUACGUAGGGCGCGAGCGUUGUCCGGAUUUACUGGGCGUAAAGGGUGCGUAGGCGGCUCUGCAAGUCAGGUGUGAAAGCCAUCGGCUUAACUGAUGGACCGCAUUUGAAACUGUGGGGCUUGAGUGAGGUAGAGGCAGACGGAAUUCCCGGUGUAGCGGUGAAAUGCGUAGAGAUCGGGAGGAACACCAGUGGCGAAGGCGGUCUGCUGGGCUUUAACUGACGCUGAGGCACGAAAGCAUGGGUAGCAAACAGGAUUAGAUACCCUGGUAGUCCAUGCCGUAAACGAUGAUUACUAGGUGUGGGGGGUCUGACCCCCUCCGUGCCGGAGUUAACACAAUAAGUAAUCCACCUGGGAAGUACGACCGCAAGGUUGAA
This 376-nucleotide ribosomal RNA is filed under the name uncultured bacterium. Its description in RNAcentral is "bacterial SSU rRNA". It matches the Rfam family "Bacterial small subunit ribosomal RNA", at positions 523 to 898 of the family's 1533-position model. The record is from RNAcentral.